AUGGUUUGUAAACAAUAUUACCUCCGCUUUUAUUGCUUUGUCCCGGGUCAUACGUGCAAUCAUCAUCUCCAUAGAAUUCCUUUCUUUUUUUAUCAUCUUAUUUCUCUCUCGUUCUUGUUUGUUUUAUCAGAUAGUUCAUGGCCAAGACUCGAGAAUCAAGCGCAUUUUCAAGAUGUCUUGACGCUUUUAGUCAAAAUUUGUUGUACCUACCCAAUCCACCUGGCCAGAGCACAGGAAGGUAUAGUUUUUUUAACGAUUUUCUACUUACCCAUUUGUUUCUAAUUUUUUGCAUCAGCUUCAAAAUAUAAUUACUGAUUCUCACCAGAACUAUUCCCUGACGCCAAACUCGCUGUUCGGUACUUAAAUAGCCCCUCUCUCAUCUAUGAGGAACCCUUAUCUUUUUAUGAUUUGUGAUAAGAGUGAAUCAAGCAAAUACCCUACCAAUUGCUUUACCAUUAGUUCUUUUCUAUUCAGUUACUUAUCAGUGAUUACCAUGGCCAGAUUGAAUUUUAUUUCUCGUGAUGAGUAUUUUUAAUUCCAACUCAAGUAAUGAACUUGUUGUCUCGUAAUUUUCCUUUCAUCAUUUUCAACUUGAUCGCUGUUAUCUUUUGGAACUACUUAGUCAUUGGUCACGCAUCUGAUCAAAAACAUCUGGUACCUAUUUGCCUUAUUGUAGUUAUUUUUCUAUUUUUAAGUCCACGCUACCUUAGUUUUUAUUACUAUCCUUUUUGGCUGAUCUGAAUCUGUUGUUAUUCUAAAUACUGAAUCCUUUGGACGGAGAUAUUGUUUUCAUGCAUCUUGCAUGGCUCUAACCUCAAACUGGAAACUGCAGCUGUUACAUUCUUGCAUUUUUUAAUGAUGCGCUUAUCACAAUGUACUCUACUAUACCAUCUCUCAAAUUUUUCUUUGUCUUUUUAGGGCUAGACAACUCAAUUGAUGUACUUACAUCUCAAGUUAAUUAAUUGACUUCAUGAUGUGGAAAGUUUCAUCAUGAUAAAGAGUACUUACUUAUCAGAGAUUUGACAGGUUACUUACUGUUGUAAAGAUAAGGUUCCUCAGAAGUGAUAAUCAUAUUUUGAACACAGAUUCUACAAGAAUCGAAUCAUUUCAUAAUCCAAAAUCAUUGAUGUUGUCGGAAGUUUGUCAGCCAAAAACACUCAGUAUAGUUCUCCUCCAAGAGUGUGUUUUUUCGAAAAAACUACAUUACAAGAAUUAUUGAAUUUUAACUUUCAGGUGAGUUAAAUCACUGAUAGAGAAAGAUAAUAGAGAAAUUUCUAAUGUCGGAAAUGUAAAGAAAGUAAUGAACUUUCAAAGUUCCGUGAAUCAGCGAAAUUUGCUAUAGGUAACCCACGUCCCGUCAACCGUAUCUUGCCUGAGGAUUCCAAGAGAUUGAGCGAGACCCUUCGUCCUGCCUCUCGGAGCUGACGGCUCACUCCCCCCAGUAAGAGAAUAGUAUUCACCGACUUUUCGAAAACAUUAUUCCAAGGCUAAAGAUUCAAAAAGUGGUAAUAUAGGCACUUAAAGCAGGUGAUGGAGGACUCCUACCCAGGUGCUAUAGGUGAAAGGAGUUCGGCUCGUAGCCAGUAGCAAAUUAGGAACUGCACUUGCUUCAGGGAAAAGACGAUAAGGUUAUUGGUUUAAAAGGUUAGGGAAAAGCGCUUGAACAGAUGCAGACAGAUGGGAUUAGCCCUGUUAAAAAAAAAAAUAAAAAGAAAAAGAACAAUAAAACUUUGGUCAUUGGCAGAAAAUUAUAGCUGACUGUCUUAAACAGAACCCGACUUAUCCGGAGGUGAACCAGCUGUAUUAUGAACUAUAGCUGUAUGUUCUUACAGUAGUAAACAAUUUUGAAAGUUU
RNAcentral lists this long non-coding RNA (1854 nucleotides) under Bemisia tabaci. Its description in RNAcentral is "lncRNA ENSSSA3NGG005552". Lineage: Eukaryota; Metazoa; Arthropoda; Insecta; Hemiptera; Aleyrodidae. The record is from RNAcentral.